CAAGGGAAGUGGUAGCCUGAGCUGGAGGUACAGUCAUCGGGGAAGAGAUGGGGUGGGUACAUUGGGUCCCCCUGUACAUUCAAGUUUUCACUGUUGGAUUAAGAAAAGGGCAAAUACUAUCAGACUUCAUAGGUAUUGACAUUGUGUUCUAGAGGACUGGCCUGACAGUUCCCAGGAUGACCUGGGAGAAGAGAUCAGAUGAUGGGUGUAGAGGGGUCCAGGCAUGAGGGAACCACAGUAACCACAGGCAAAAAGAUCAAGGAGUGAAUUGGAGAGUUGUUUAUUUUUGGCUGUGGGGCAGCAGGAGAAGGAUAAAAGAGGUAUUUAGACUUUCAGUUUUGAAAUAGUUGCAGUGUCUGACAUAAGUGGGACCACCUCUAAACUUAGGGGGAGAGGAAUGAGUCUUGAGAUCAAAUUGAUCAAGGUCAAAGUCAAGUCAGCUUGUUUUGGGAGGCUUUGGAUGUGAGGGACCAGAGUUUAUGAGAGUUGGUGGUGCAAACCAACAUCAUUAGCAUGUGACAGUGAGAAUGGUCCAGGAGAGGUAAGAAGAUGAAACCUCAGAGGACAAAGAAAGAGGAGAGCAGCAGGUUGCAGAGCUGGGGUGUGGGGAUGGGGAAGAGGAAGGAAGAGAACCUGGACAGGUGACAAAAAUGAAGUUGUCUGGAAAGGGGGAAGAUUAGACUGCCCAGGACCACUGAAGCCAGGACAGUGCCAGAAGGUCAAGACAAGGGACAAGAGAUCUUUCUCAGGCUACCCAAAAAUCAGACACAUACUAACCUCCUUUGCCCUCUGUUAGAUGAUAUCAUCAGUCAGAUUUUGCUUUGAUUUUGCACCAUAGGUAGUUUUUGAUCAGUUGGGUUCAGUUUCAUUUGUGAUGUCCAGUACAAGAUUAAAUGUGUAUUUUGCAUUUUAAAUAAACUGCAUUGUGUAUAAAUAAGGCAUGUGACAUGAUAUUACAUGUAUCUAGUACGAAGUGGCAAAUUAACACCCAGCAUCUCAUGUCAUUAGCUUUUUUCCCCCAGUGGCAAGAAAAGCUAGAUUCUACUCAUUAGUACAAAUCCCGUGUGCUGUACAGUUUUAUUACCUAUGGUCCUCAUGUUGCACGUUAGAUCUUUAGACUUGUUCAUCCUACAUAUCUGCUGUAUAUGACCUACAUCAUCUCCCUAUUUUUUCUCCUUAUUCCACCCCUGGAAGCUACCACCCC
RNAcentral lists this long non-coding RNA (1204 nucleotides) under Marmota monax (woodchuck). The record is from RNAcentral. Lineage: Eukaryota; Metazoa; Chordata; Mammalia; Rodentia; Sciuridae.